UGCGGAGGGUGCGAGCGUUAAUCGGAAUUACUGGGCGUAAAGCGCACGCAGGCGGUUUGUUAAGCUAGAUGUGAAAGCCCCGGGCUCAACCUGGGAUGGUCAUUUAGAACUGGCAGACUAGAGUCUUGGAGAGGGGAGUGGAAUUCCAGGUGUAGCGGUGAAAUGCGUAGAUAUCUGGAGGAACAUCAGUGGUGAAGGCGACUCCCUGGCCAAAGACUGACGCUCAUGUGCGAAAGUGUGGGUAGCGAACAGG
This 253-nucleotide ribosomal RNA is filed under the name uncultured bacterium. RNAcentral's name for it is "partial 16S ribosomal RNA". It matches the Rfam family "Bacterial small subunit ribosomal RNA", at positions 524 to 776 of the family's 1533-position model. The record is from RNAcentral.